AGCGUAGGUGGCCUAACAUGUCAACUGUGAAAACCCGGAGCUCAACUCCGGACUUGCAGUUGAAACUGGUAGGCUUGAGGACGGUAGAGGAAGACGGAACUGCCAGUGUAGGGGUAAAAAUCCUUAGAUAUUGGCAGGAACGCCGGUGACGAAGGUGGUUUUCUGGGCCGGUUCUGACACUGAUGCUCGAAAGCCAGGGGAGCGAACG
This 208-nucleotide ribosomal RNA is filed under the name uncultured Mesotoga sp. RNAcentral's name for it is "partial 16S ribosomal RNA". It matches the Rfam family "Bacterial small subunit ribosomal RNA", at positions 568 to 774 of the family's 1533-position model. The record is from RNAcentral. Lineage: Bacteria; Thermotogati; Thermotogota; Thermotogae; Kosmotogales; Kosmotogaceae.